RNAcentral lists this ribosomal RNA (434 nucleotides) under uncultured Ruminococcus sp. RNAcentral describes it as "partial 16S ribosomal RNA". It matches the Rfam family "Bacterial small subunit ribosomal RNA", at positions 341 to 792 of the family's 1533-position model. The record is from RNAcentral. Lineage: Bacteria; Bacillati; Bacillota; Clostridia; Eubacteriales; Oscillospiraceae.
ACGGGAGGCAGCAGUGGGGGAUAUUGCACAAUGGGGGGAACCCUGAUGCAGCGAUGCCGCGUGGAGGAAGAAGGUUUUCGGAUUGUAAACUCCUGUCCUGAAGGACGAUAAUGACGGUACUUCAGGAGGAAGCUCCGGCUAACUAUGUGCCAGCAGCCGCGGUAAUACAUAGGGAGCGAGCGUUAUCCGGAAUUACUGGGUGUAAAGGGAGCGCAGGCGGGACUGCAAGUCAGAUGUGAAAUAUACGGGCUCAACCUGUAGACUGCAUUUGAAACUGUGGUUCUUGAGUGAAGUAGAGGUAAGCGGAAUUCCUAGUGUAGCGGUGAAAUGCGUAGAUAUUAGGAGGAACAUCGGUGGCGAAGGCGGCUUACUGGGCUUUUACUGACGCUGAGGCUCGAAAGCGUGGGGAGCAAACAGGAUUAGAUACCCUGGUA